This 2908-nucleotide ribosomal RNA is filed under the name Bacillus cereus B4264. RNAcentral's name for it is "bacterial LSU rRNA". It matches the Rfam family "Bacterial large subunit ribosomal RNA". The record is from RNAcentral. Lineage: Bacteria; Bacillati; Bacillota; Bacilli; Caryophanales; Bacillaceae.
GGGCGCACGGUGGAUGCCUUGACACUAGGAGUCGAUGAAGGACGGGACUAACGCCGAUAUGCUUCGGGGAGCUGUAAGUAAGCUUUGAUCCGAAGAUUUCCGAAUGGGGAAACCCACCAUACGUAAUGGUAUGGUAUCCUUAUCUGAAUACAUAGGGUAAGGAAGACAGACCCAGGGAACUGAAACAUCUAAGUACCUGGAGGAAGAGAAAGCAAAUGCGAUUUCCUGAGUAGCGGCGAGCGAAACGGAACAUAGCCCAAACCAAGAGGCUUGCCUCUUGGGGUUGUAGGACAUUCUAUACGGAGUUACAAAGGAACGAGGUAGACGAAGCGACCUGGAAAGGUCCGUCGUAGAGGGUAACAACCCCGUAGUCGAAACUUCGUUCUCUCUUGAAUGUAUCCUGAGUACGGCGGAACACGUGAAAUUCCGUCGGAAUCUGGGAGGACCAUCUCCCAAGGCUAAAUACUCCCUAGUGAUCGAUAGUGAACCAGUACCGUGAGGGAAAGGUGAAAAGCACCCCGGAAGGGGAGUGAAAGAGAUCCUGAAACCGUGUGCCUACAAAUAGUCAGAGCCCGUUAACGGGUGAUGGCGUGCCUUUUGUAGAAUGAACCGGCGAGUUACGAUCCCGUGCGAGGUUAAGCUGAAGAGGCGGAGCCGCAGCGAAAGCGAGUCUGAAUAGGGCGUUUAGUACGUGGUCGUAGACCCGAAACCAGGUGAUCUACCCAUGUCCAGGGUGAAGUUCAGGUAACACUGAAUGGAGGCCCGAACCCACGCACGUUGAAAAGUGCGGGGAUGAGGUGUGGGUAGCGGAGAAAUUCCAAUCGAACCUGGAGAUAGCUGGUUCUCCCCGAAAUAGCUUUAGGGCUAGCCUUAAGUGUAAGAGUCUUGGAGGUAGAGCACUGAUUGGACUAGGGGUCCUCAUCGGAUUACCGAAUUCAGUCAAACUCCGAAUGCCAAUGACUUAUCCUUAGGAGUCAGACUGCGAGUGAUAAGAUCCGUAGUCAAAAGGGAAACAGCCCAGACCGCCAGCUAAGGUCCCAAAGUGUGUAUUAAGUGGAAAAGGAUGUGGAGUUGCUUAGACAACUAGGAUGUUGGCUUAGAAGCAGCCACCAUUUAAAGAGUGCGUAAUAGCUCACUAGUCGAGUGACUCUGCGCCGAAAAUGUACCGGGGCUAAAUACACCACCGAAGCUGCGGAUUGAUACCAAUGGUAUCAGUGGUAGGGGAGCGUUCUAAGGACAGUGAAGUCAGACCGGAAGGACUGGUGGAGUGCUUAGAAGUGAGAAUGCCGGUAUGAGUAGCGAAAGACGGGUGAGAAUCCCGUCCACCGAAUGCCUAAGGUUUCCUGAGGAAGGCUCGUCCGCUCAGGGUUAGUCAGGACCUAAGCCGAGGCCGACAGGCGUAGGCGAUGGACAACAGGUUGAUAUUCCUGUACCACCUCUUUAUCGUUUGAGCAAUGGAGGGACGCAGAAGGAUAGAAGAAGCGUGCGAUUGGUUGUGCACGUCCAAGCAGUUAGGCUGAUAAGUAGGCAAAUCCGCUUAUCGUAAAGGCUGAGCUGUGAUGGGGAAGCUCCUUAUGGAGCGAAGUCUUUGAUUCCCCGCUGCCAAGAAAAGCUUCUAGCGAGAUAAAAGGUGCCUGUACCGCAAACCGACACAGGUAGGCGAGGAGAGAAUCCUAAGGUGUGCGAGAGAACUCUGGUUAAGGAACUCGGCAAAAUGACCCCGUAACUUCGGGAGAAGGGGUGCUUUCUUAACGGAAAGCCGCAGUGAAUAGGCCCAAGCGACUGUUUAGCAAAAACACAGCUCUCUGCGAAGCCGUAAGGCGAAGUAUAGGGGGUGACACCUGCCCGGUGCUGGAAGGUUAAGGAGAGGGGUUAGCGUAAGCGAAGCUCUGAACUGAAGCCCCAGUAAACGGCGGCCGUAACUAUAACGGUCCUAAGGUAGCGAAAUUCCUUGUCGGGUAAGUUCCGACCCGCACGAAAGGUGUAACGAUUUGGGCACUGUCUCAACCAGAGACUCGGUGAAAUUAUAGUACCUGUGAAGAUGCAGGUUACCCGCGACAGGACGGAAAGACCCCGUGGAGCUUUACUGUAGCCUGAUAUUGAAUUUUGGUACAGUUUGUACAGGAUAGGCGGGAGCCAUUGAAACCGGAGCGCUAGCUUCGGUGGAGGCGCUGGUGGGAUACCGCCCUGACUGUAUUGAAAUUCUAACCUACGGGUCUUAUCGACCCGGGAGACAGUGUCAGGUGGGCAGUUUGACUGGGGCGGUCGCCUCCUAAAGUGUAACGGAGGCGCCCAAAGGUUCCCUCAGAAUGGUUGGAAAUCAUUCGUAGAGUGCAAAGGCAUAAGGGAGCUUGACUGCGAGACCUACAAGUCGAGCAGGGACGAAAGUCGGGCUUAGUGAUCCGGUGGUUCCGCAUGGAAGGGCCAUCGCUCAACGGAUAAAAGCUACCCCGGGGAUAACAGGCUUAUCUCCCCCAAGAGUCCACAUCGACGGGGAGGUUUGGCACCUCGAUGUCGGCUCAUCGCAUCCUGGGGCUGUAGUCGGUCCCAAGGGUUGGGCUGUUCGCCCAUUAAAGCGGUACGCGAGCUGGGUUCAGAACGUCGUGAGACAGUUCGGUCCCUAUCCGUCGUGGGCGUAGGAAAUUUGAGAGGAGCUGUCCUUAGUACGAGAGGACCGGGAUGGACGCACCGCUGGUGUACCAGUUGUUCUGCCAAGGGCAUAGCUGGGUAGCUAUGUGCGGAAGGGAUAAGUGCUGAAAGCAUCUAAGCAUGAAGCCCCCCUCAAGAUGAGAUUUCCCAUAGCGUAAGCUAGUAAGAUCCCUGAAAGAUGAUCAGGUUGAUAGGUUCGAGGUGGAAGCAUGGUGACAUGUGGAGCUGACGAAUACUAAUAGAUCGAGGACUUAACCAU